UGCAGGGCCAGAUAGUGAAGUUACAACUGCUGGUCCAAAUAGCGAAAUUACAACUGCUGGCCCAGAUGGUGAAAUAACUACUGCUGGUCCAGAUGGAGAAAUUACAACUGCAGGACCAGAUGGCGAAAUUACAACUGCAGGACCAGAUGGCGAAAUUACAACCGCAGGACCAGAU
Bradysia coprophila is the source of this 175-nucleotide long non-coding RNA. The record is from RefSeq and is a predicted model, not a curated record. Lineage: Eukaryota; Metazoa; Arthropoda; Insecta; Diptera; Sciaridae.